This 38119-nucleotide long non-coding RNA is filed under the name Ananas comosus (pineapple). Its description in RNAcentral is "long non-coding RNA (ACOM_LNC032200)". Lineage: Eukaryota; Viridiplantae; Streptophyta; Magnoliopsida; Poales; Bromeliaceae. The record is from RNAcentral.
AUGCGGGUGCGGGGUUAAAAAUGUAGAAAAAACUUCAAAUAAUACCCAGCAGUUUCAUAUUUUCUUAUUUUAGUAUUAUGUAAUUUAAAAUGUAUCGCUUUUAUGUCCUAUGAUUUUAUUUUUCUCUUUUUGUAAUCUCCUCUACUAAUUUUUUUUCGUUAAAUCAGGCUGACAAACUGUACUGAUAUAAUUACUCUCAAAGAUCUCCUGAAAAGCACUAAUAUGUGAGCGCGAAUAUGUACAUGCAGAUCGACCCGCGUUGAUAAAUCACAGAUCAGCAGAUAUAUAGGAAAUAUGCAUCUGUAGUACCUAAAACUUAUUCUUUCCUUUGCUGUAGUUUAUUAACUAAAAUAUCAGUUAUUACUUCAGUACUGGCUCUCUCUAAUAACUUCAGUACUGGCUCUCUCUCUCUCUCUCUCUCUCUCUCUCAUAAUUGUAGAAAACAGGCAAGAAGAUAAUUUGAAUUAAAAAGGAAAAUCCUUUAGUUAAUUGCUCACAAACAGAACCAAUCACACAUCCCAAUCUCACCGUAAUGCAAGUAAAUCAGAUGAUUCCAAUCAACUUAAUCUAAGAUGAAUCCAUUUCUGCAGCAACUACACAACAAACCAACAAGUCUACAAACUAAAUACAUAAAUAAAGCCAUCGUUUUGAGAGCCACAAGCUAAAGACAAAGGGGGGAACUCACUAGUUCUCAAAAUACAACAAUGAGUUUGAAUCAUUUUAACUGCCUAUUGUAUGUGUCAACUGCAAUAGAAGAUAACAAAGAAAAACAAAUGAUCCACUUUCUGAGGUUGACUACAUUAUUCAUUCUUUUCCUAUGAUACAAAAAGAAUCUCCAGUAAGCUGCAGGACUCAACAGAAAAGCCAGACACCACAAUGUACACCUGAUCCAAUUCUGUCAUAUCUAGAGUUGAUAAAUCUGUCAAUUUUUCUCUUCUAUAUGGAAUUAGUGUUUCUAUGACUUCAUCUUUCCCAAGCAUUAUGUUUUGGGUGUAAUGGAAGUUCGAAAUCACAGCAACAGCAAAACCCACAUAACAAAUGCAAUAGCCAGUUUGCGUGGAUUCUUCUGAAGAGAAGGGACAAAAAAAAAAAGAUUUGACAAUAAGAGGAGGACAGAAGGGAAUGGAAUGAGUAAAAAGCCUCAUCAGAAUUUUUAUGGAUAUGAAGAGACGAGACGAUAAAAAUGGACUAAUAAAAUGCAAGUAAAAGAGGAAUGCAUUUAACAACUUAGAUUAUAAAAAUUGCAAUUUUCGUAAGUCAAUCGUUGUUUGAUAUGGUACUUCCAACAAGAAGAAAAAAAACUAUUUAUUCUCAGUCCUAGUGUAUGUUCCUUCUAGGGUCCUUGAAAGAAAAGACUGAAUCCUCCAAAAUUUUCAGAACAGCAUAGAGAGUAUAAGCAAAAAGGCACCUUACUUUUUCUCUCUUUCCUAAACACAACAAUAUUUAAAAAGUGUAGAAAAUUGGGCAUUCUUGACCAACCAAAUCAUGUUUGCAUGGGCCAGAAAUCUCUUUUUAUAAGAGACCAAGAUAUCGAUUGUUAGUGCUACCAAUUUCAGGAAUUCGCUAUAGAUUUCGAAUCAUAAGUCCCACAGCCCUACCAAACCAAAUGGAACCAAACCAAAUGGAAAUUCAGGUUGAACAACAAGGAUGAAAAUUUAAGUAAACUUAUUCCUCUUCUUUUUACUCUUUCUAGCUGCAAAUGAGCUGAUUGUCUCACUAGGAAGGCACACCUGAUCUCCUCUACUGGCUUUCAUCUCUUGGGAAAUUGAUUGCCUAUGUCCUUUGCAAGCCUUGGGAAGUUUACCAUCAUAAGCUCCACAGAUAUGAGCCUCAAAAUUCAUAUAAUCCUGCAAUUUAAAGGUACACAAUCCAUCACGUAAAUUGAAGGUAUAUACAUUUUAGAAUGAGUAAUAAAAGUAAUUAAGCUGACUAGUUGGAAUGAGAUUUCAGAUGAUAGAUUGGCCCAACAAAGUGUUUGCUUCGGUUCAGUUCUUAAUAGCUAUAUCUUAGUUAAAGCUACAUAGAUUCAGAUCCAAGGUCCAUUUUCUAGGCUUAUAAUGAAAAGAAAUAGUUAGAACAUCAUUCAUGCCAUGAAUAUAAUCGGGGGAUCAGUUAGCACUUUGUCUUGGCAAUUUAGUCCCUACAGAUAAGAUGAAAUUUGAAAGAACGAUAAGUAACAAGCCUUGUUGAAUCAAGAAGCCAUAGUUGUGAUCAUUAUGCAUUUUCCUGCAGUUUGUUGCCGUAUGAACUUUUAGGAGCAUAAUGAAAUAACGAAAAAAGAAAGAAGCAACAUAAACUAACAGAUCAAUACAACUGCGCAGAAUUGCUUCAUGCAUUCUCCAGAAAUUGUACAUUAACAAACAGAAGCAAAUUGAAGAUUGAUUAGAAAAUAACAAUCAUCUACCAUGCCUAAAAUCAUGAAAAAGUGGACAAAUAACUUUUUUGCUAAUGAAAAUUAUGGUUUUGUUGUAACUUAUAAAAGAAAAGUAAAUAACUUAGGAUUGAGUUAACUCUAGUAGUUGAGGCAUGACUAUAUCAACUGGGGAGGCAAAUUGAUAACAGUAUGUUGAUCAGCAUAGACAUACCUCAAAAGGCUUAGAAAGGAUAUGAGGAAAACAGGACACACAGGAAUGAAAUAUAAAAGAAGGUUAAGCGUAAGCUUGUAGAAUAUGAAACUAACCUCAUAGAGAGGCUUCCCAUCAACAACCACCCAAGGAACAUACUGAUGAGGGGGGCGAAGAGCAUCUGUCUCUGCUGCAUACUGUAGUUCAAGCUGCAUUUGUAUCAGAUUAAGAGAAGUUCAUAAGCACCUGUAAGUAUAAUCUCAUUGUAUUCUCUCUCGGAAAUAUAUAUACACACAUAUAUGUGUAGAUGAAAGCUUGGUCAACUAAGAUUGGAUCAACCACAAUGAUUUCUAGAAUAAAAGCAAUAACCAUUUGAAAAUUAACAAUACUUAGGAACUAACCCCUACAGAUUUCUCCAAGAAAAAAAAUAAGGGGUGAAAUACAAAUAAGUUGGUUAUGGUAAAUCUAAUACAAAUAUUAACAUGCAAAAGUUCAGAAAGAAAAAUAAGUGAGAAGAGUGAUGUAUAGACAACCAUCCUAACAUAUUUCUCUUUAAUGAAACCUUCUAGAUGAGAUUCAUUCGAAGUUAACUUCAAAAGGGAGAUUCAUUCGCAAUUUAUUGUGUUGAACAAACCUGCCACCCAUAUCCACUAUUAUAGCAAUCUACAACCGCUUCCGAACUCAGGCCAGCUACCUGGAAGCAAGAUUGCCACUCGUUUUCUUUCUGUCCCAGAAUUAAAUUUUCAACACAGUGAAUGAAGCGGAAGUGCUCUUGCUGCAUCAGAAUUCAAGAAAAUUAACAUAAAAAUAAUCUUACAAGGUAAUAUGUUUUGACGACAAUCUCUGCAUGAGUCUGAAAAUGCACAACGCGUACAUUUCCCAAGAAAAACAGUUUCUAUGUAUAAUGCAGCACAGCAUUCAAUAAAGAUAAAUGCACUGACAGCCUAAACAGACCCCCAAAACUCCUAAAUUUUGAAAUUCACCCGUUUUGUGUGACAAAAAGUUCCACACCGGAAAGGCGACCACCGACAUAUUGUUUCGUCACAACAAGACAUUGGUAUAUAACUGUAAUUCUUUGUACAUUACCACAUCAGGCCACUCUUUGAUUGCGCAUGCUUCGAUAACAUUCAGAAGGCACUCGUUCGCACCAUGCUGCAGGAUGAAACAAGAAUGGUUAAAAGAAAAUCAUUUUCUAGGCGUCUGGAUCAUAAAAAAUAAUUUAAUACAAAGGUUAUGAAAAAUCAACCUACCUCUUCAUUCAAGACACACCAAUCUCACUGCAAAAACCCCAUAAAUAUAUAAAUGCUGCUGCAGGUCGCAGGCAGUAAAUUGACAUGUGCUUGUUUCCAGUAAUUAAUGAAUUUUUUAGGGUCAAUAGCAUACGUCUCCCUGCGAAGUAUGGAAAUGACACACUUGUCCCUCAAUGUUGUUUGUCAAGAAGUAUAUCCCUCUGAAUUUCAAAAGUUUACAACUUAUUCCUACCAACUGACUACUGUUAAUUAACUGGCACUCUCUCACUGUUAGGACCUUUACGCUCUUACGAAUAUACAUUCUUUUCAGAUUUUUAAGGUUCAAAUAGAAUGAAAAGAGUGAUGGAACAAAGAAGCUAGAGAUUUUUAAAAAAAAAUGAUGGUAAAAGUAUUUUAUAAGAUCUUUUUUGGGGCCAAAAUGGUAAUUUUCAGAAAAUUCAAUUUUAGACGAUCAAUGACACACAGAAGAAUAAAUGUGCAAACUACUAAAAUUUAUGAGGGACAAAUACACAAUUUCACUACUUUGAAGAGACAAGCGUGCAUUUUUUUUCCGAUCAAUUCCACCAUCUCCUAUAUUAACAGCGAAUAUUGCAAUCGAGAAUCUUACAGAGGCAUUUCGACAAAAACAUGGUGGGAACAUUCCGAAGGGAGGAAUUGGGAGUGAGGACCUGGCAAAUGAAGGAGCCGUCGGAGGAAACCCUCGCGUUGCCGUAAGGGACGAGAUCGAGGUCGACGAUGGAGACGAGCCCGUUGCUGAAGAUGCGAGAGAGGUGGUUCACAAUGAAAUUGGAGCAGUAAGGGCACAGAGUCUCGUAGUAGAGGGACAAGGAGACCCUCUUAGUGGCCGAUGCAUGGGAGGGAGAGAGGGAGAGGAGAGAGAGGAGUGAAAUGGCGAAGAGGAGAUGAAGAGACGCCAUGGGAAGGGUAGGGAGAGAGAGAGAGAGAGAGAGAGAGAGAGAGAGAGAGAGGUUGUGUUGAGUUGAGGAGAGAUCGCUUCCUCUGUAGGUGAUUCCUCCGAGGGGGCGGGUGGGGUGCAAAAAGGAAAGGGAAAAGCGGGAGAAGAUGCUACAGGGUGGUGGUUAUGAAAAAUGAGCUAUAUUUAAAAAAAAAAAAAGGUUAAUUGCAUAUAAGUCCCUACAAACAUAGUAAAUUAUAAAUACAUUUCUACAAAGUUUAAUUUUUAUAAAUUAUUUCUGCAAAAAUCCUAAUAUUUUCAGAUAUAUCUUUGCCAUUAAAAUCUGUUAGAAAAGUUUAGUUAACCAUAGGUUACAUACUUUACUCUAGUUGACAUUUUUAUUCCUCUUAUAUUAUACUGUUAUAAUUUUUGGAGGGAUAUAUUUGUGAUGAGAAAAUUAAAAUAUAAACGGUUUUCUAAUGAUUCUCUAACGAUAACUAAUCAGAGGAAUAUAUUUAAAAAUAUUAGAACUUUCAUAUAAAUCACUUAUGAAAGUUGAACUUUACAGCAAUACAUUUGUAAUUCACUAUGUAUGUGGAAACCAAUAUGCAAUUAAUUCUAAUAAAAUGGGGGGUAAGUUGCAAAUUUGGUCCCAGAUGUUUCAAUAUUAGCAGUUUAGGCCCUUUAGAAAGAUAAAUUGCAAUUGGGUUCUUCAACCUGUGGGCAUAGUUUCAGCUGUGUGUUCUACCCCAGGGAUGUCAACGGGUCGGAAUAGAUUUUCAAAAAUAUAAAGCCGAAGCCGACUAAUAACCAAAAUUCAAAUUCGAAUUCGAAUAUGAUAGAUUUUAAAAAAUUGUAUCUAAAUCUGAAUCCGAUUAAAAAUACAAAAUUUGAACCCAAGUCCGAACCCAAAAAUCUGAACCCCAAUUAUUAUAGUUUAUCGCAAUAAAUUUUUUGUUAAUUCCUUAGUAAAAUAGCGAGAAAGAGAGCCACGAAAUCGCAACCUCUUUUAGCCAAUUAUUUAGUGCCUAUUUGGCCCCCUUAACUGCUUUAUUUUCUAAACCAACUACUAAAUUUAAAGCCCGCGUAUUUUCAAAAAAAAAAAAAAAAAUUAAACAGCAUUUUUUUUUUUAACUUUCAUACUAAACAGCUCAUCAAUUUAUUUAGGAUAAACUUCAAAUGACAUAUUUAUAUAGUUUCGUACUUUCUUAUUUUAAUACCAUGUAGUUUAAAAUAUAUCAAUUUAGUAUCCUAUGAUUUCAUUUUUUUUCUUUUUAUCAGCCCUUUUGUUAACAUUUCGUUAAAUUACAUAUAAAAAAUUUCAGAUAUCCUACCUAAAUUUAUCGAAUAUUUAUUUUAGCACCUUUUAGUUUUAACUUUGUUAUUGAUUUAACGAAAAAAAUUAUUGGAGAAGAUAAUAAAAAGAGAAAAAUAAAAUUAUCAAGUACUAAAUAGAUACACUUUAAACCACAAGAUAUUAAAAUAAAAAAAAGAGUACGAAACUACAUAAAGUUUUCCAAUUUAUGUAGAAGCCAACAUAUAAGGACUUAAAACUGCCGCAAACAAGCUUUACUUUUACCAUCCCAUCUUACUGAGACAUAUCCAUUAUAAAUUACGAAGAGAUACUCACCACGGUGAGACCUAAAAACUAGUUAAAUGUUAAGGGGCCCCUCAUUUCAUUAUUGAAGUUAAGCGAGUUCGCCAAUUAUCUGUAAAACAUACUAUUUUUCUCACAUACAUAAUUUGAACAUGUUUUACGGAGAAAUUAUUCGCAGGGUUCUUCUCAUCUUCCAUUCAUUUAAGGUAACCUUUGCUCUUCAAACUCUCCACCGUAUCCUUGAUGAGCUUUUCAAGGGGAGUGAAGUGAAGGCCCAGCUCAAUCAACUUCUUCGAGGGACUCUCGGCCCUCACCACCCAAGGUUGUUUGUCCUCUUCAACCCUAUCAAACACGAACUAACACAAAUCAGAUAAAUUAAGCAAAGAAUUAUACGUAUUUGCGCAUAUAUAUGCCAACUAUGAAGAUAAAAAUUGGUGCCUAUUUCUAAGUCACAGCUUAAUCAGAGGCGUUUAACUAAAUUAAAAUGUAAGCGUUACCAACUGCACUGAGGACGCAACAGCAAAUACACACUAAUCUCGAGGAUAUAACUUGUAAUAGAGAGAGGUGCAUAUUUGCAAAUAUGUGUCUUAUAAGGGUAUAGGAGUAAGAACCUUUUAUGCAAGAGCAAAUAAUUUGAGUUAAACAUAGUCAGUCUCUUAUACCUUUUAACCGGAAAUUCGGGGUAGAGUUCUGCAAGCUUGGCCACAAAAUCAAUCCACCGUUCAAUGCGUUCUAAACACAGAUGCCGUCCCUGAGCUAAUCGGUUCUCGUAUAACAGUAUCAGCGCUUGCGCCACAUCCCUCACGUCGACGGACCCAAUGUAAAGAUUGUCCAUGUCAAAUUGGGCUCCUGAGUCAUGACGCGGUGCGAAUUUAAUAGUUACCGUGCUGCAGCAAUUUAUGGAGGUAUAAAACGAAGUAGUGCAAAGAAAGUGAAAGCUUUUGGGGAUGACUGUACUCAAACAGCACUUAGCUCCCGCAGUCAUUAAUUCGGAAGAAAAUAAAAUAAAAAUAUACAUGCCAUAUCUAACCUGGCAUGCAUGUUGUAAGUACCUCCUCUUAGAAAAUCAUACUUUGUUAAAUGUUUGAUAGUAUAGUCUAAUACCUACCUUGGAGAAGAUGAAGCAAGAUUUUGACACUGGCGCCGGCAAAAGGCGGGAGUAUCGGACCUAGCACCAUCCCGGGGUUGAUCACUACUAACUCCAAACCCUCCUUGGAAGCGAAUUCCCAUGCCGCCUUCUCUGCUAGAGUUUUCGACAAGCAGUACCAGAGCUGACAUAUCAUGCAGAGAAAAGUAUCAGGUUCACAAUGUGAAGAUUGUUGCUAAAUUAGCCUUGUAGGAUGUUUCAAAGAGAAAUUUUUUGCUUUGUUGCAAAAUACAAUUCCUAUGUUUUUUUCUUUUUUAGGCAAAGGUAGCAUGCUACUGUUUCAUUCGUUAAGAAAGUGAAUUAAGCACCAAGUUGAAGCAGCAAGGCUUCGGAGGAGACAAAGAAAAAUCACUAAGCACUAUAAAUCUCCCACAGAUCCCUACACAAGCGUAUAUCCACUAGAACAACUCCUGUGUUAACUGAAGAAUACUUUGUUCUAGCAAAACUAAAUCUAUUCAAGGUCUGAAUUGGUACACGACAUCGCCGUCGACCUGAUAAGUCAUUCGUUCAAUAUUUAUCGAUCUUAUUCUGUGUCGAAACAUGAAGCGAUAUUAUUAUCAUCGCAAUUUUUCGACACACCACUACCUCUCAAGUUGUUACCAUCUCCAGUUUUUAUGCAUACCUGAAGCUUCUUGAGAAGAUCAACAUCAGCCCAGGAAUCUUCGUUCACGGCCACAUCGACGGGCCAGUCGGGGUUGGGGAUCAUCGCAGCUUGCGAAGACACCAGCACUACUCGGCCAACUCCGCAUUCUUUUGCGGCACGGAGAACGUUAAGCGUGCCCUUCACUGCAGGAUCCAGCAGCUCCUUCUGCACACAAUCCAAUUUUAAAAACACUCAAUUUGUUUGUUUAACUGCACUGCUAGUCUCCGAACUUCAAAUCCUAAGUCAAACAUUCGACACUUCAAAUUUUUAAAAGUUUCAACAGCUGAUGGGCGAGUUGUGCACUGAUAUAUAGAUGCGACAGCAAUAACUUUUUACGUGCGUAACAAAGCACGAAAAAUAAAGUACUUCUGAAAGUUUAGGAGGGUCGAAUAUCCAACUAAAAAAUUCGAGGAAAGUAAAACUUAGCCUAAAAGUUCGCAAACUUUAAGGUAUCAUUUGAUUUGGAUAUAAGUAAGAAUUAUCUAUUUCAGAGAUAGGUAUAACUUCAGAUCUAAGAAAGAACUAGAUCAAUUUUAUGUUUGGAUAAAAAUUGAGUUAUUUUCAAAAAUUAAAAAAAUACAUUUUGAAUAAAUUAGAUGAAAAAAGAAGAAUAGCCGGUACUUAUAAAUAAAUAAUAAUAUUAUUACCCCACUGAUUAUAUUUGAAUUUGAAUUUUUUAAUUUUAUAUUUAUAUUUUUAAUUUUAACUUUUAAAUUUUAAAAUUUGAAAUUAAAAUUUAAAAUCUCAAAUUUUAAAUUUUAAAUUUUAAACUUUAAAUUUAAGAUCAAAUUUAAAUUUAAAAAAUAUAAAAUAUCAAAUUUUAAAUUUAAAAAUUUUAAAUAUCAAAUUUAAAAUUUAGAAUAUAAUAUUAUAAACUUUAAUUUUGAGAUUAUGAAUUAUAAAUUAUAAAUUUUAAUUUUUUAAAUUUUAAAUUUUAAAAAUAAAAAUAGAGGGAAACAGAGUGUUUUUUCCAUAGAUAAUUAUUUAAUAUUAAUUAGAUUAAUUAAUAAUUUAAUAUUAUAAUUAAAAUUAAUUUUUAGAGUUUAAUUAAUCUUUGUUCUAGGUUGUUUCAGAGAUAAGGAUGGAACAGCAAUUUAAAGUUUAUAUCAAAUUAUACCAGCUUAUCCUACAUAUUCAAAAAUAGUAAUUUUCGAAUACGAAAAAUAACGUUUGAAUAUAAAGAAGAUAUAUACGAGAUUAUUCAUCUUUUAUCUCCGAACCAAAUAGUGUGUUGAUACAUUCUAUCGUACACCCAAAAGGGCAUUGCAAACCUCAGGAUCCUGCAGGCCGUCAAGUAUGAGAGGCGAGGCCAAGUGGAAGACGCCGGCGGUGCCAUUCACCGCGGCGAGGAUGGAUGUUGGGUCAAGGAGGUCCAUCUCAAAGAGCCAGAGACGUGACGCCGCGCCAUCGAGGGCUUCCAGGUGCUUCGUCUCCCCCUCGUCCUCUAAAAAAAAAAAUUAUAAAAAUAUAUAUACAUUUUGUUUAAGAAACAAAUAGCGUAAUAUCUGUUUCAUUCAUUAAAAUUUUUGAAAACAAAUUAGAACGUUAAAUUUUUGAAAAAUAAAUUAGAAUUUUUUAUACGAAGAGAUUCGAGCUGACAAAUAACAUUCAAUCCGUACUCCGAGAAAGAUUGUGUGUGCUGGAUACUAGAAAGUAACUUCUGAGUAUAUUAUUUUUAUAUUUUAGAGUGAUUAUAUUGGUAGAAACAUAUUGUAAAAUGUUACAAAACUUGUGGUCUCGCGUUUUGAGCAAUUGCUAAAGUAUAUAAAAUAAAUAUUUAUUUUUUAAAAAUUUAAACUAUCAGAUAAUAAAUACAGUUAAUAUUUAUAUUUAAGUAUCUAAGUAAAUUUUUUAAAAAAAUAAUAUAACGUCAUGAAUCUGGACAGAACUCGAAACUCUCUGUUCUGAUAUUAUAUUAAAUUAUAUAAAAUAUUAAAAAUAAUAAAUUUUUAGAGUAAUAUUACUGGUAAUAAUCUGACAAAUAUUAAAGAGUAAACAUAUAACAACAAAUUUAGAGGGGAAAAAAAAAUGAGAGAGAGUACUGAGAUUCUUGACGGUGGCGUGGACGGAGUAGCCGCGCUGCAGCAGGAAGCGGAGCAGCCACGAUCCGAUGAAGCCGCUCCCUCCGGUCACGCAAACGCGCAAACUGCUGCUGCCCUGCAUCGACAUCUCUUUCUUUUUUUUCCUCGCUCUCUCUACGUAAACUAUUAUUAUUUGCAAAAUUUGCUGCUUUUGUUUUUCAUCUCAGUGUGUGCAGUAUAUGUGCCUAUUUAUUUAUAAGUUUUAUGAAUGGGGAAUAUUUGAGAGGCUCCAAACACUCUCUCCAUCCCAGCAGGAUGGAUGUGGACGAGAGAUGUCAACGGUUGUAUUCGGGGUGGAUUUCUAAAAAUUUGAACCCGAGCCCGGCUCCAAACCCGAGAUCUGAAUCCGACGAAUUUUAAAAAUUCAUAUCCAAAUUCGAAUCCGACCAAAAAUUUGAAACUCGAAUCCGAAUCCGAAAAUUUAAACCCGAAACAAUUAUUUUUUUUUCAAUAUUUCAAAAUAUAAUAUAUUAAAUCUAAAUUUUUAAAAUAUAAAUUCAAAUAUAACAUCAAAUAUAUAUAUAUAUAUAUAUACUAGUUGAAUGUACGUGCAAAUGCACGUAACAAUUAUUAUAAUUUAUUUCAAAUUAAUAUAAAUUUGUACAUUAUAUAUAUCCAAAAUUUUACAAUAAAAAUUAUAUUUAUAAAUUAAUAUAUUAUAUUUUAUUAGAAAAUAUUUACAAUAUCCUAUAAUGUUCUUUUUUUUAUAUACAUCAAAUAUUUUUAUAUACUUUUUUAUUUCAGAUGAAUCAACUUUAAAUAUGUAUUUUAAACUAAAAGCAUUAAAAUUUAAUUCACAUUUACUUUAAAAUUUAAAAUUUAAUUUUGAUCCACUGUAAUAAAAAAAUUAAUUGUUAAUUCAAAUUUGAUACAAAUUAAAUUUAAUUCAUAAUUUAAACUCAAAUUUUAAUUUUAAUGUAAAAUAGAUGAAUAAAUAUUUGAGAUAUUUUUAAUUUUGAUCAUAACCGUUUGUUUUUAUUUGAGAUAUUUUUUAACAAAUUGAUUAUAAUCGUCCCUAGAAUUAAAUUUAUAAAUGGAUAGGAAUGAUGCUUUUUAGGGCUUGUUUGGUUCAUCCAUUUUGGGUAUGGAAUCGGAAUCGGUUUGAUCAAAUUCGGAUAAUUUUGUUUGGUUCGCAUAAAUCGGUUUGGGAUUCCUAUUCCGGACUGGAAUGGGAAUGGCCCAUUAGCCUUCAACUUGUUUCCGGUCUUCUAGCCCGGAUUGAAAUUUCAUUUCGGAAGCCCACUAAGUCCUCGAAGCCCAUGUGACCAUCUCACCCUCCUUCUCUUCACCCAUUUCUCAUCAAAAAAAAAAAAAAAACCUAUCCUCUCUCAAAACUCUAUCCCUAAUCCACAUGAAUAAAAGUUUUUAAAAAUAAAUUUGAUAUUUUUUUUGAAAAACUUAUUAGAGAAUAGUAUUAUAUUUUUCAUAAAUUUUAAAUAAUAUAAAUUUAUAUUUGAGAGUAAAAUUAGUAUUAUAGUAUCCUAUAAUUUUUUUAGUUUAUACGAAUCAAAUAAUGAAAUGUGAAUAACUCAUUCCAAUUCCGAAUCCACAAAUAAACCAAACAUCUUGGGGAAGUGGGUCAUUCCAAUUACCAUUCCAAUUCAUUCUCAUUCCAUUAUCCAUUCCAAUUCCACCCUUGAAUCAAACAAGCCUUAUAGAUGAUUAUAACGGUUUUUAUUUGAGAUAUUUUUUAAGGAAUAGAUAUUAAUAGAUGUAGAGAUUUAAUAGAUUGAUCAUAACUGUUCAUUUUAUUUGAGAUAUUUUUAACAAAUUAAUCAUAACCAUUGUAGAGAAUAUUAUUUUAUUCUUUUUUAGAUUCCGUCUGUCAUUGUCGGAAUUCCUAUACGCUUUUAUAUAUAGUAUAUAUAUAUAUAUAUAUAUAUAUAUAUAUAUAUAAAAUACAAAAUAAAUUCGGGUUCGGAUCGAAUUCGGGUUGGGUUCGGAUACAAUCAAAUUCCAUAUCUAAAUUCAUAUCGGUCGAGUUUUUAUAUUUUAUAUCCAUAUCUAAAUUCAUAUCCAUAUACGUCGAAUAUAUUCAUUUUAUUCGGAUUCGAAUUAGGAUAAAAUUUUGAAUAUUCAUAUCUAUUGACAUUUUAAUGUAAACCCUGCUCGUCUCUCUCCGGAAGCAGUGGGUCCUGGGAGCUGCAAUUUAAUGCGAAGAUUUGGAAUUCGGAAUUCAUUAAAUAUCAUUUAAUAGGUAGAUUCUUUUCGAUUAUUAAUACGAACGACAUAGUUGGGGUUCCGUCACUGUCACGUUCCGUUGUUACCUCCAUCUUUAUCUGUAGAGUUGGGACAUGAGCGAAUGCUCUCAAUAUUAUUGUUUUUGAAUUGCUAAGACUUAGUUUGGUAUUGAGAUCUAUAUAAUGUCAUUAGAUAUAUUAGAGUUAAAAAAAAAUAUAUAGAGAUAUACUUCUGCGUUCUCCGAUGGAACUGCAAAAAAUAUAUCGUAACCGACUAACCGCAAUAUUUGAAACGCAAGAAAAUAAACAUGUAAUUUUUUCAUCGUCUUAUAACACAAUCUUCCUGAAAUCCCAAACGAAGCCUAAGUUGGACCUGCUUUCUAAGAUGAUGUUUUUGUUUUUUCGGAUCCCUUUAUACGCUGUACAAUUAAUAUAUAUGUUGUUGACUUGAUAAUAAAUUUAAUAUUAGAAAUUUGAAGUGAUUGUCGAAAUUUUUAAAUUUAACAUAAGAAAUUUAAAAUUUAACUUUAUAAAUAGCAUUUUUCAUAAUUUUACAUACACUAUCCAACUAGUAGCAUUAUAAGAGAUAAAAAUAAUAAAUAAACUCGCAAACAAUAAAAUGGAUUAAAUCCCUACUUUUAAAAAAAUUCUGUCAGAUAUUUUGAAAAAAAAUAAUUAUUUGAAAUUAUAUUUGAAAUGACUGAUUAAAAGAACUAAAAUUUCAAAACUGUGUGGAAAAGUCGUAGUGUCAUAACUCCACACAUAGCACAAGAUAAUUGAGGACCUCCCAGUAUCCACAAACUAUACAAAUCAGAUUACUUCUUGCAUAUAGAUUCUCAUUAAAAUUAUUAAAUAUAAAUAUUCAAAAUAUUAUUUUUUGAUAAUUUAAAUUUUAAAAAAAAUAACCGGCGUUAAUAUGGUACCAGAAUAGGAGUUCUUGAGCACGUCUUAGGCGGAGAUAAACAAUAAAAAUGAAUAAAGAUUCCCUCCAUUAAUCCAAAAUGUCCCUAAUUAAGUGUUUGCUUUAUGUACGCUAUCUUAACUUUCGAAUUUUCUAAGUUUUAAAAUUUUAUUAAAUUUAAUGAUGAUAUAUUAGUUAGGGAAAACUUUAAAAAUCCCCCUGUGGUUUCACAUUUUUUCAUUUUAGUACCCUGUGGUUUAAAGUUUAUCAAGUUAGUACCAUGUGGUUUCUCACUUUAUCACUUUAAUACCCUGUGGUUUAAAGUGUAUCAAGUGAGUACCCUGUGGUUUUGCACUUUACUAUUUUAGUACCCUGUGGUUUUAAUUUUGUAUCAAGUUAGUACCUAUAAUUUUUUAAAUCACAGGGUACUUAAGUGAUAAAGUGUGAAACCACAGGGUACUAAAGUGAUAAAGUGCAAAAUCACGGGGUACUAACUUGAUAUACUUUAAACCACAUGGUGCUAAAAUGAUAAAGUGAGAAACCAUAGGGUACUAACUUGAUAUAUUUUAAACUAUACGGUACUAAAGUGAAAAAAUUAAAAUCACAAGGGGGUUUUCGAAGUUUUCCCUAUUAGUUAUUAGUGACUAACUUUUUUAGUUUUUUUAACUAGUUAAUUGAAAUAAUUAUGAAGUACGCAUUCGAUUUGUGAAUCGAUUUGGGAUUGAGACGACUACACUUAAGAUUGGAUUGAGUGGACGUAAUUAACCGACAAGGUCAUGAUGAGAUAGGCGAUUAUUGUUGAGUUAGCAAUUUGGAGCCAUUAUUAAGAAAAAUUGUAAUUGAAACAAGAGUGAAAAAUUGUAAUUGAAAGGAAGAGUGAAUUUUGUGAAAAAUUUUUAAGAAUUUUUUUUUCUUUUGUGUGUGUAAUAAAAUUGAAGAUUUAAUUACAAAUGGUAAGUUCACGUGAUGACGAUAGAUAUAAAAAGUAAGACAUAAAUGCUAAAGAUUUGGUAUUUUUGAUGAGAUUGGAAUGGGCAACAAUUUCCGGUGUCAAUGAAUCUAUUCCAUCUGCUCUUCAUUAUGUUUGUGAAUGGCAGAUACAACUGAUGAUCCGAUUACGAAACACUCAAAUACAUGACGAAUUAUUUUCUCAAAAUAGCUUUUUUUUCAAAAACUUUUUUUUCUGAUCGCAUGAAAGACUAGUAUUUUUAUUUUUUUAAAACUUUUUAUUCAAAAAACAAAAAUUAUAAAAAAUAAUAUUUUUAUGAAAUAUUUUUUAAAAAAAUUUAUUUUUUCUGUAAGAAUUUUGAGAGAAAGCACGCACCUCAGCCUCUUCCAGAAGAUGGCUGACAUGACAAUCAACUCUGAAAACUACUUGCUAAUUACGACACAUUUACAUGGCAUGAAAAAUUAUUUAUAAACUAUUUAUAAGGAUGCUCUUUGGAUGGCUAUAUACUAGGGCGAUUUGGGUUAUUCUGGCAGGAUUACUACAUUUGAUUCAUUCGGCAUGUAAUCUAUUCGGUAUUAUAGCAUUAUAAAAAAUAUAAAACUACACCGAAAAAUUAAGAAAAGCGUCUCUAAGCAUCAUUACUAUGUACUAAAUACCAACGUUUCAAAAAAUAUUGUCACAUGAAUUGUUUACUAUAUCAAACCAAUAUAUCGAUUGUAUUAUUAUUUUUAAUUUUCUGACACUUUGAAUUGUUAGGAUUUAAAAAAAUUCCGUCUGAAUAUAUUUCAUCAAUGAUACAUAUCCGACGACUCUUUAUCGAUAGAUUAUUUUAGAAUACUUUGUAAACAACGUUAAAUAUAAAAAAAAAUGCUCGUUAAAUAUUAUUUUUUUUAUAGUAAUACAAACACUGAUGAGUGAUUAUUAGAACUCUUGAGGUGCAUGCGUGUAAAAUUAAUCUUCUAAUUAAAUCCUUUUGUGGCAUCGGAGCAAUAACAUAUCCCCAGUGCAUCAACGGCCUGGGGAGGGAAGAUGCAUGUAACAUUCUUAAAGUGCCCAUAUGCUGCACAAAGCUUGAUGCAAUCUUUGUUUUCGCGACACUCCCCAACGUAUCCACCGACACCGUCAUAGCCCUUGUGAUCAUCUUCGGGGAGAAACCCUACACAGUAAAUAAGCAUCCAAUCAAUUACAUUACAUGUAUAUCAAUUAAAAAGAACUUGGGCCUUGAGAUUUUUUACAUUGCAAAUUAUCUAGCUCUGUAUCUAUCACUUCAAAUUUGAAAUUAUACAAAUUUUAGUGAAAAACUUAAUUUUCUUUAUUUUCUGGUGCUCAAAUUCAGAACCAACUUCACCCAUCAUACGGACACUUCCAAAGAAGUAACGUUUGAAAGGGUAUAUAUAUAUAUAUAAAAUCUCCAUAAAUAAAAAUGUUAAUUGAACUUUCAAAUAUAAAAGUUAAGGGAAUUUGCAUGAAUAAAUGGAAGAGGGAAAAAAAAGAAGAAGAAGUUUUUUUUGUUGAUUAUGUCGCAUACUGGUGGAUUGAAUAGUCGUGGCAAGAAACAGGAGGAGGAAGCUUAGCACUGUUAUGAAGCACUUGUUGGAAGCCUUUUUGAUCAGCUGAAACCUAAAAAGCAAAAGAUAAUAAUAAAAAAGAAGUUUGUAUAAAAGUUGGUUUAAUUUGGGAUUUAAUAAGAAGAACCAAUAUUUAAUAAGAAGAACCAAUAUUAUACUACCUUUUUUCUUGUAGAUUUCGCGCUCUUGCUCAUUGUUAAUGCCCUAUAUAUAUAGAGAGAGAGAGUAGGGCUAGAAUACUUGUAAAAGCAUCAUGAGGGUGAUACUUGUGUGUUUUUAGCCCUUGGAUAGAAAGAUGUGAGGUUGAGAUGAUGGUGGUAGGUGGUAUAUAUAUAUAUAUAUAUAUAUAUAUAUAUAUUUUAACUCGAGUAUACGAAAAUUUUCAUGUUCAGUAACCAUGAAUAUUCAAAAGCCGGGAACCUAAUUUCUUACACACCAAUUUUACUACACCCGAGGAAUCCCAACUCACUCAUCAAACAAUUUAUCAUACUAGAUUGCCUACUUUUACUAGUUUCUAUAUCUAGAUUGCCAUUUUUUAAAUGUUUGUGGUUUACGACACACGAAAAUGUUCGUGGUAUCGGCCUGAUAUAUAUAUAUAUAUAUAUAUAUAUCUCAACUCGAUACUAUGAAAAUGUUCAUAGUGGUAGUACUACGAUAAUCUAAAAUUCGAUAACCUAGAUGAAAAACUAAUAAUUACCGGGAACCUAAUUUGUGAUAAGGUGGAUGGNUCUUUCGGGACAACAUUAUUUGCAUAUUUAAUAAAAAGGUGUGAAUCUGACCCUCUUUUCAUUGAUACACUAGUCUCGUUAAUCUUUUUUAAAGAGGCAAUUUUUUAUAUAUUUCUAAAAAGUUUCAAUUUUUUUAAUUUACUUAAAAGACUAAUAAUAUAAAUAAAAAUUUAACGUUCUAAAUUCUUUCAAAUAUACCUCUUAAGUUAGGAUAAAAAAAUAUUUUGACCUUAUUUUAAUUGUAGUAAAAAUUUAAUUUAAAUUUAACCCAAGAUAACUUAACGAAUACUAACAACAACGGAGUUAUUUUUGAAUAAUAGAAAAAUACACGAAAACUAUAUUUGAAGCAAAAAAAAAAAGAAAUAUAUAAAAUAUUUCAAAAAUUUUGAAGGCUAUAUAGAUAAUUAUCUAUUCUUUUUAAUAUAGUAAAAAAAUUUUAAAAAAAAGUUUAAAUUUUUGAAAAAGUAGAUACAAAAUUUGUACAUUUUUUUUGGAUAUACAAAUAGUAAUUUUCUUUCUUCUAGGGGGGGUUGUUUUUAAUAAUGCUGCUAUGUGCAUGUACAAUCAUGUUGGUGGCCAGAGAAAUUAAAGGAAAGUUCCUUCGUGUGUACUUUUUCUUUUAUUUAUACAAAUCAUUUGAAUUAUUACUGUGUGAAGUGGAUGAACGUGCACCUUAUAAAAUGAGAAGGGAUAGGUCAAGAGGUAUAAGUACCCAUCAAAAGGAUUUGCAAGAUUGCAGGGAAAAAUUGACUCUGCUUUUUCCUAGUUGGUAUUAUUAUCCUUUCUCCAAAAAAACAAAAGGAAAAAAGAAAAAAAUUCCUAUGUAGGAGAAUAUAUGUGGGUCGUGCUGGGCCCAUGCUAUUAAAUAGAAAUUAGCCUGCGAUCACUUCACACUGGAGACAAGAUAGUUUUGGGUGCCAAUAAAUGAACAUGAAAAACAGUAAAUUUUCCACUGAAAGAUCUACUUUUAUUAUAUUUGCAAAAACUAAAGAAAAUGAAAAGCAUUCAUCGAAACUUCCAUUACAAUAGUAAUUCGCCAUUUUAAUAGGUAAUGGAUUGAACUAAAGAAGAAGCAGAAGAUAAAAGCUAAAGAAUCUAGCAUCAUUCAUCUCAUUGGCCCUCAUUACUGCUGCAUCUAUAUUAUGUUCUAACAGGACAUGAACCAGCUAUAAUAUUCAAAGGUCAAUAUGCAGGAAGAGCAUCCAACUAUAAAAGCGAGGCGGAUGUAACAAUUAAGUCCAUUCCCUUCCUAAUGUCUUAUGCAAUAGCAUGUCCCUCGUGCAGAAGCAUCUGAUCGAAAUGCCAAACUCCUGCACAAAAUCAGAGUAUAUUUUACGAAAGGAAAAAAGAAUAAACAUCGAAAUUUUAAGAUCAUGAUCUAUUAAGGGAGGAGAAAGAUGUCUCCUAAAGCCUUACCAUGUCCCUUGCCCACCAUUCUCAGCUGAGCAACAUAUUCAGACAUCUUUUUAAUGGCUUCCACCUGAACCGAAGAAAAAAAAGAGGGAAUUCGUAGAGGCAAUUUUAGCCAAGGAUAAAAUAUCCUAUAAAAUAAAAGAUACUGAAAAGGCAACAUGAAAAAGCAAGUUACAUCCUGUUGUAAUAAUACCAACUUAGUGUACGAUAUAGAUUCAAAAGGGCCAUAGAGAGAGUAAGUGGUUGAUUACUUAGAUACAAGCCGUAUGAUGAUAUCCCAACAUAAUAUUGGUAUAAUUCGAGAAAAAACAUGUUAGAAAAUUAUAUAUAACAAUAAUAAUAAUAAUUAAAUCCCUUAACAUGUUAGAAAAUUAGAAACGAAACACAAAAGUAAUACCCUGAUCCUGAAAUGGAAAAUAAAAGAAGAGUUAUUAAGAACAAAAAGCAGAUAACCAAAAGCUUUACCUGCUCCUCCAGAAAUUCACUUUCAAUGUAGUCUGCCAGCUGAGGAUCGCUGCACUUUUCUGCGACCUGUUGAUCGAGAUCAUAGAUGGCAUUGAAAAAUGAUCUUCGAUAAUGUUUUCCAAUACUCAUCAAAACUCUAAGGUUUCAUAUGCAGGGAUCACUUACACCGUGCAAUUUCAGAAGCUUCUCAUUUGUCAGUUUCUCAAGAGCUAAAGCCAACUCCAUUGCUGAACAAAUGAAAGAAAGUGUGUCAUAGCAAAUCUAAUUUGCAUCAGAUGCAGAAUAUAUUGCUAGUGAGCAUGCAUGAGCACAACCUUCUGGCUCGUUCAAUUUUAUUAUAUGAAAUAAUAAAUUAGUAAGGAAAGUAUGGCACUUGUUGGUGGGUAAUAUACCUUUCUAAUCUUAGGUUACUUUCAAACAACCCAAUACAAGACAUUAAUAUAAGAAAGACACAAAGAAACUUCUGAUAUGGAUAUUUUACUCUCCUUUUUUUUUUUUCUAAAUUUGCAAGGCACUAUUUAGUCAAAGUGCCAAAUAAAGUUUAAUCAAUAGACACAUAGUCACACUCAACUAGCAUAAUCAUAGUAUGAUGAUGCAACAAUUCAUUAUCUAAUACCAGUUUAUAAAGUAGAUUCUUCCUCGUUCUUGGCACCUCUAUAAGUUAUAUAUUUCACAAAUAGUAGAAACGAUGUGGAUGUAAAUUAUUAAAUAAAUGCAUAGACACGCUAUGCUAUUCAUGUAAACUUAUCAUGACAACAACAGAUGAGUAAAAUACAAUAUGACAAUUGAUCUACAAAUGGCUUUUUCCAUGCUAAAAAAGUAACGCCGACAAGAAGCGUACCAUACAAAGCAUCGCCUUUCUCAGCAUGAUCAAACUCACUUAAGGGCAUCAGUAUUGUCUGAAGCUUAACUCUGCCUCCACGUUUGUUCUAAAGACAUAAUAAUAAUAAUAAUAAUAAUAAUAAUAAUAAUUAAGUCCCUUACAUGUUAGAAAAUUAGAAAUGAAACACAAAAGUAAUACCCUGAUCCUGAAAUGGAAAACAAAAAAAAGAGAACGAUUAGAUAAAAUUAAGAAUCUUAGUAGAGACCUGGUACUUCAUAAGCUUCUCAGCAUGCUCCCUUUCCUCUUCGCUUGAUUCCUUGAAGAACCUGAGACCGAAGAAACCGACGCGUAGCUUAACAAUAUGAUCCCGCAGGCUUGAACAAAAUGAAAGAAAUGUUAAAUUUCAUCACAAAAUUACUUGGCAAGGCCCUUCAACGCGACGUUGUCCCGAUCAAAGUAUGCAAACAAGGCAUGAUACACGUAAGAAACGUUGUACUCAACACUGUAAACAAAAUCAAGAGAAAAAAAAAUAAUAAAUAGCACUAUGAAAUCACAUCGCAAACAGAUCAAAAGAAAAUAUAUGCAGUAAAAGAAUAAAAGUACUUGAACCAAACCAGAUGAUCCAAAGUGUCGGUUCUAAAAUAGAUCUUAGCCGUUAAUCACAAGAACAAACGGAAACAAAUCCACAAACAAUAAAAUAAUAUGUAGUAAAAUUGAAAGGAAACCGACUUGAUCUGUUCAUUGAUGGCGCCCUCGCAAUCAUCGGCGUACUUGUGGCGCGCGAGGGACUGGUCGAGGGCCUGGGGCACGAGCGCGAGCUCGCUCUUCACCUCCUCGAAGGGCUCGAAGACGACGCCGGUGAUGGCGCGGCUCGCCGACCCCCCCUUUGCGGCGGCCGCGAACAGCCUCCGGCGGGGGAGCCCCACGGCGGCCACGGCGGAGGGAAGGGAGAGCUCCGGCGAGCGCGAGAGGAGGGGGAAGGAGGGGGAGGAGGGGGCACGUAGAAGCAUGGCUAGGGUUUGGGAGGGGAAAUGGGAGGGGAGUGAGACCGAGGUGUGUGUUGGAAAUGGAGGGUGCGGGGGAGGAGGGCCAUGAUAUAGAGGGAGGGGCGAGGGUUUGGGGGGGUGUGGAUGCGCGACACGUGUACGGUGGGAUUAGAGAGGGUGGGAUGUGCGUGUGGAGGGCUCGUGGUCACCGCACGGCUUGAUCUUUCUACGGAUUGGUGGGGCGAGGAGGAAUCGUCGGGAUAUCCCCACCAUUUACAGGUUGGCAAUUUUUGNUUUUUUUUUUUUUUUUGGCUUUUUGGCUCCAUAAAAAUUUGUUAAAUUAUGCAAUAGUUAUUGGAAACUUAUUAUUCGUAUGAUAUAUUCGAAAAAGUCAUUAUUUUCAUAAUUUGAAAAAUAAUCAUCCCAAUAUUAAAAACUUUAAAAACUACUGUUUUUUAUUUUGAAAAAUGAUUAAAGAGUUUUUGUAAAUUUCUAGCGGUUACGGUUUUUAGAAAUUCAGUUUAUGAAUUUAGGGAAUGAUGUGGCUAUCGUUUGGAAUAAUUGGAUGACAAGACAUAGAACUCGGCCUACUCGUUCUAAACUGGCCGGAUUGAUAGUCUGUUGCUGCGUUAUUCAGAAAUAAUGUGAUUUUUAAAAAAGUUAAUACGAGUCCAUUCAACAGUCAAUAAAAUCGAGUACUUGAAGAACUUGUGGAAAUAAUUUAUCUCAAUAAAGUGGCUAGCCACUUCAUAUUCUCUUAAUUCUUUUAUUUAUUUUUUUCAUCUCGACCGAGCUCUACUAUCUCCUUCAUGUAAUCUAAUUCAUACUUCUAAUGAAUAAAGUAGUUAGCAUAUUAUCUUAAAAAAAUAUAUAUAUAGGGAGUUUUACUUGAAAAGAUAAGUUAAAGGGACAAAUGCAUUAGAGCUCGUUCUUUUGCAUAUAAGAAAUUAGCAUAUAAUUUUCUGAACAAUUCAAUCAUUCUAGUUAAUUCUUAAAAUAAGAUUAAUUAACUCUAAAAGUAAUGUGUUUCCGUAACGCCAUUUGCUUUGAACAUUCUUGGUAUUCACUGAACCAAAAUAGUUGACUCAUAAUUAUCGAAUUACAAUCCGUCGCGCAAUUAUUUCUCCAUAUUUUUACCUUAUUCAUUUUGUACGUAUUCAGUAAUUAAAUAGACAUUAACAGAAAAUUUUCUCCAUGGUUAGAAGCAAUCUCUCAAAUUUUAGUAUAAGCUGAGUUCUAAAAGGUGCCCUAUGUCUACAUGGUUUCACUCUACUAAGAACUCACAAAAAAUAAUAUGUAAACGUGUAAAUAUAACGGACAGAAUAAAAUAUCUCAGUACAUACUAAGAUACAAUAAAUUUUAAACAGAUUAGCUAAACAGAAACACUAUAAAGAUUUUGUAAACAACACAAAAAACAAAAAUAAGACAUGUUAAUCCUACUGCUCAACCCAAAUGAUUUUCCACAAGUUUGGUACGAAAUAAUCGGCUUACUUCGAACAACUCUGUUGCCAUUCCUAAUUAUCGAACUGCUCGAUUCAAGAUCAGCCUCUUAACGUCUUAAAAAUAUAUUAUUAUACAUAUAAAAAUAUGAAAUUUAAUUUUUAAAUAAUUUAAAUGGUAUAGAUCAUGUUAAAUAAUAUCGAUGGUGACGGUGACAGGGAAAAAAAAGAGAUAAGGAAAAAGCGACAGGGGUGGCACAUGCUCAGCACUUGCGGAGUUUGGGUCCCGUCGCAAUCCGGUGCGCGUGGAUGGCUCACGCUCUGUGUGGACGGAGAUUCCACGUGCUCGGUCCGCAGAAGAUCCAACCUUUAACUGGGUCAUUGUUAGCCUCACUGACACGUCUCUUUGACUCCCUUUUCCCUUCCCCACCACAACUUUAAUUGUCUAAUAAUAAUAAUAAUAAUAAUAAUAAUAUAAUAAUAAUAAUACCCCUUCACUAAUUUACCGCGACGUGACCUUUUGUUUCCUCGUGCUUUAGAAAAGCUUUCUAGAUUGUUACUGAAAAGACCCAUCUUUUCAAAAAGUAAACAAACUUGUGCAUAUUAAGAGGUUUUUAAAUUGAUUUAAAAAGAAAAGUUUAGGACUGAUUUUAAUACUAUAGUAUUCAAAAGAUCUGCAUUGCAGUAAAUAAUUUUGAGAUACAGAGACCAUAUAUUAGAGAGGAAACACAAGAAAGAGAGAGAGAGAGAGAGAGAGAGAGAGAGAGAGAGGAGAUUAAGAGCUACCGUUUAUGAUCGUGUGCAUUGAAAGUGUUUUUCUUUGUUGUAAGUUUGUGAUUUAUCAAACACUUUCAUUCAAGUGAUUAGCUCCGGUGAUAAUUCUACUCAAGUAGGAAUAUUUGAAGAUAUAUUAUAAGUACCAAGUGCUUGAUAUACAGUAAUUUUUUAUUGUAAGAUAAAUUAGGUUACUAUACUAUUAAUAGUAUUAAGUAUUUGGUAUUAUUAGAUUUCGAUUUUUGAAUGAGAGGAUGUGCGGUUAUAAUAAUAAUGAUUCUUUAGUUUUGAGAAAAUGAUUGAUUGAAUAGUAUAAUCUAACGGGUAAAAAUAAUAUAAAAAAAGGAUAGAUUUAACAACAGAAAACUCGAUAGCACUAGACGCUUAAUAUUAUCGAUAGUAUAGUAGUACAAGAGAUGCACAUAUAUAUUUCGAACCAAAAAUCUUUUCUCUUGAUGUAAAAUUUAGUUUAGUCUCCCGUCAUACAUUAAAAAAAAAAAAAAGAGGGUUGAGAAACACGAACUAUGCCACCUAAUGCAGUUCCUCUUUACAACUUGAUAACAACAACUAAGCAAUAAAUGGUCGAUGGUAAUCUUCUAUAUAGAGUAGAUGAGCACGCACACUAACUUAAUUUCAGGAGGGAAAGUGACAGGUGGGGUUGGUGGUGCCAAAAAAAGAAAAAGGUCUGGGAAUCAUUCAUUUGCAGACAUGCUGAUGGCAAUGGAUUCCUCAGUACAGAGCGUUCACAUGCUCGACACACGCCACGCACCAACCGAAGAGGACACACGCCCCUCUGGCGUCGUGGCAUUUGACAUGUUUGUCGUUGCCUGAGGACGUGUUUAUCUGCCGAGCAAUGCUACAUAAAAAAUUUAAUAAUUGAGUUUGAAUUCUAGUUAAUUUAUAUUUUUAAUUAAAUUUAUUUUUUAAAAUAAAAUAAAUAAAACGGGUAGCAUGAUACCUAUCUUUCAAAAAAAAUAUAUUACAUGUACGUUUUAUUUGAAGUGUAUAUUCUGCAUCUCAUCUAUCUAAUGAGUGAAAUAUUUUUAUUAAGUUGCUGAUAGUUAACACUUCAUCCAUUAAAUGAACGGGGUAUAAAUUGUACACCCCGAAUGGAGGUGUAUCUACAUGUAGCAUUUUUCUUAUCUGCUUUUGGCUUCUCCUCUUCUCCCAUAAAUGAUUCUCAAUGUACUUGUAAGUUUAUGUAAGUGCUCUAUCUAUAUUUAUGAACUAGUUAAUGGCAUUCAUUUUAUAUGUAUAUAUCAACACAUUAACAGUAAAAAAACAAAGGCAUGCAUUUUAGAAUAACCGUCGCGGCAUUCUUAGUUGCUGCUAAGGGAGCAUUUGGUUCAACGUAAAAUAAAAAAAAAAUAAUUUUUGGUGAAAAACAAGUUUUCUGUUUUGUGGCAUUUAGUUUGUAAGAAAAAAAAUUAAUAGUUUUUUUAUCAAUAUUUGUUUUGUUGGAAAGAAAAAAAUUCACAUUUGUUUGAUUUGAUAGAAAAAAAUGAAUGAAAAAAAUUUAUAUGUAGUUUUAGUUUUCAUUUUUCGUCGAGAAAUAGCGAAAAACAAAAAAUUAAAAUUUUUUUCCAAAUCCAAAAAAAUAUUUUUAUGUUAAAAGAAAAAAUAUUUUUUAUACUGAAAAUAAUUUUUCGUCUCGUUUUACAGAAAACCAAAAGGGGCUUUUGUUUUUUCAAAAAAAAAUGAAAAGCUAUUUUUUUCGGAAUAAAAUUUUUCAUAGAAAAUAUCAUUAUUUUUCAAAUUUUUUAGUUUUCACAUUUUUUUUUUUUUUAAAAACACUAAUUUUCUAUAAAAAUCUAAAAAAAAUCAGAACUUUCGAGAAGUUGGAAAAAGGCUAUUUUUUUUAAAUUUCUUAAAUUUAAUUAUUAAUUAUUGAUUGUUUUUGAUCAAAUAUGAUAUCCAUAAUAGAAAUGAUUGAUUAACACCGCCCUUUGGAAUACUGUAUGAAUGAAGCUACUUGAAAAUGAAUUACAGCAACAGUUUUUCAGUAGACCAUCUCCAAAAGCCCUUCACUUGUAAAUUCAGGAGCUUUGAAUCUAACCAUCUACUUUUACGACCUAAAAAGCUAGUUAGGAAUUAUCGAUGGAGCUUGUCGACAUAGUAAAAAAAUUCGUGAACUCGGACUUCGUUUCUCCUGAUCUUAUGAGUUCCAUGCAACCAGAACAGGUGCCAUAACAAAUUAACACGAAAAAAAUUAAAUUCAAUCAUGUAAGGAGAAGUUCACUAUUGCAACCAAAGUAUCAAAGAUCAACUGCACAAGUUCCAUCUAUAGUAGAAUCUCAUCAUAAGAUUGCUCUGCUCUUUAAAAAAAGAUGAAUUUAAAUCAAUAAAUAGUCAGAAAAAUCUUUUCCAUGCGGCGUAUUGUCCUUGAUUGAGAACACAUAAAAAAUUAUAUACAAUUAUACAGAACAGAAAGCUCUCUCGGAAGGGGGAAAAAAGGAAAAAGAUGGAACUGAGAAGAAAAUUCUUCAUCUUGACAAAAGAUGCUGCAGGUGCUCCUGAGCACGACUUUCCUUCAACUUUCCCUUCAGCGAAAGUUUGUCACCAUAAAUUGCAAUUUUCCAGCAGCCAGCUUGGAAUAUGAAGACUGAACCCAUUUUCGGUACAACUGUAGAUGUCAUUGACAUGUGUUAUCAGUUUCCCACAACUAGAACUGGAUUCAGAAUAUAUAUAUAAUAAUUAUGAAGUUUUCAUGUGCUAAUUGAAUUGCAAAAGAAAGGAAGGAAAAAGAUUGAAAAGCAUCCACAGCAUCUUAAUUCCGUAUCUUUAUUCUCCUAAACCAAAUAUGAUUACUGAUAAGCUGCUCUAAAAGCUCGUUUCCAAAUUGUAAAGAAGAAAAUUUAGGUUGUCUGAUCAACUACGGAAAGGAAGUAGGAUUCACCUUGAUUGCGUAAUCCUAGUUUAACUAACAACAUAAGCAACAGUAAGAUGGGUGAAGGGUAAUGACUUGACGAGCUAAGUGCAACUCCGUCAUAUUCAUAUAAACCACGUGUUUGUAUUCAAUUAAAUCAAACUACUACUACUACUAAGAAGCAAAAAAAGACCGCACCAACAGGCUAGAGGAAUUAGUUUCAAAUUCCUAACAUAUACUCUAUAGAUUACAAAACUGCAGAAUGAAGGAAGAUGAAUAACUAAACAAAAGAUGCUCAUUAUAGUAGGUAAAGUAGUCUCUGAAGGAUAUAUCCAGUAUUUUGUGUUAAAUAAUUUAGAUACGCAAAGGAAAAACAUUAAGCUAGUUAUUUUGACUGGAACUUGUGAGUACCUCUGAAGCGAUUGUCCUCUGUAAUUAUUCCAAAAGUCUCUGCAGUAUCACGAAUCAUAAUACCACUUACACCUUUAAAGGUGACAUCUCUGCACUCAACAACUGCAAUUUGUCACAGCUAAAUAAGUUCCUUGCAUGCAUAAACUACUAACUAAAGCAAUCAAUGGCAACCAAAUAAACCAAGCAUAAUACAUGAUAAAGCAAUAUGAAUUACCUAGAAGAUAGGCACCGUGUAAGUCAGCAGUUAACAGGCGGUCGCUUAAUUUCUUUUUCCUGAAUAUGCAGUAGGGAAAGAUUCACUCACCAAUAGCAGAUAAAGGUAAAGAGUAUGUAUUAAUAAACAAAAAAUAAUAAAGAGAGAAAAACAAGUCAACUAAAUAAGAAAGUUUACCCAUUUUCUUUUGUGAGCUCAUUAAUGUACUCUUUCCACAUUUCAUGCAUUGGCUUAAAAAGAUCAAAGCUACACGAAAUACCAGUCAUAAGAUUUUAAGAAAAUGAGAAUUUAACAAAGAAAGUAAGAGGCAACAUCAGAAUUUCAACAACUUUCAAGCUAGAAAUAUCCUUACGGACUACAAAGGGAUAUUAUAUGAUCUCUAGAUUAAUAGAGACAUCUUACUGCUCCUACUUCCAAUCUGUAGGUUCUAACCAGAGCGAUCUAUCUAUACCCAACGUUCUUAAUGGCAGUUUUAGGUCAAUAACCUAAUUGUAGAUUCUUUUCAACUCUUAAGUGUGGUUCUAUCCCGACAAUCAGAAGUUUAGGAAUAAAAAAACAAAACACUACAAAUAACCUCAGUUGCUCCAAAUUUGACUUCUCAUUCUUACUUUUUUCAAGUAAUGGUUUUGGCGCAUCUUUCCACAUGAAGUAAACUUAUACUGUAUAAUUCAGUUUCUGUUUGCAAAAAUUAUAUCCUGCCAAUUUGGUUAAUAACAUAACCUACUGUUUUCAUGGUUUAUCAAUAUCUCUGCCUACCCAACCAUACCAGUGCAUGUGAAAACUACAUAAUUUCCUUGAAGUUAAGCAAAAGCAAUACAAAAUAAGCUGUCAAGAAACGGUAAAAAAUGAAUAUAUAUAUAUAUAUAUAUAUAUAUAUAUAUAUAUAUACACUAGGAGUUUUCUAUCCCGUAUAAGAUUAACUUGUGGAACUCCUUGGGCAAAUUAAAUGACCCAACUUUCCGAUGUUGCUUCAUCGACAUAUGCUUCUUCGACCUCUUCGAGUGACUCUUUAAUGCUCUCAUGCGGGCGUCCGCUAACCCAUCGUUCUUUGCAACAUAGUUAUCAAGCAAAAUCCAACUAUCCAAUUUUAAGCUCUUAGCUCCCCUCGCAAACUUCCCAGCUUCUUCGCCCUUCCCAAUGAUAUCACCAACAAUUCUGUGAACCGCAUCCCUUCUACUCGAAUCCUUCACAAAAUUUGAACACAGGAAUGCAAUUACAGAUACAAUUGCGACUAAAAAAGGUACUUUAAUCUCAUUGUUACCAUAAUAGCAGCUUGUAGCAAGUUUUCGUGCAUUGUUUCACAGAUCUUCGAAUAAACAGGAUGUGUUUCUCCAUCUAGAAUGCGUAAAAGAAGGAUUUUGAGUUAAGUAUAACAACUAUAGGUAAGAAAAAGCAACAAUACAUUAAAUAAGAACCUGAGAUCCUCCGUUGGGGAGUGGCAUUUGAGGAUCCCGAGUCUCCUGAGAAGAAUCCAAAACCACGAUAUCGAUUCUCUUCAAACACCGAAUAGUCGAACCCUAGAACAAAAGGGGCUAUGAUCGAAUCGAACCUUUAAUGGAGUAAGAGGGAUCGGAUAUUGAAGGAGGAGAAGAGAGUGUGGCGUCGGAGGCAGCGACGGGUUGCUUUGGGUCGUGGGAUUGGGGUCUUCGCGAGGGAUCGCUGCUCCUCUUCUUGCUUCUGAGGUGAUCUUCGUGGAGGAGAUCGGAUUUGGCAGCGGCAGCGAACCUCCGCUCCAGGGCAUCGAAGGCGCGCUUCUUCUGGUCGGAGACGACGGGGCUAGGGUUCGCGGACGCCAUUAGAGGUCCUCGCGAAGGUUCUUCGGCUAUAUGAGAUGCUUCGAGGGCGAUUGAGAAAAAGCACGCGCACUCAAAGAGCGGGAGCGUUUAACCGGACCGGAAAGGUAAGAAACUAGAAAAUACAGAACCGGAAUCGAACCGGAUUACUUUAUAGCAAUUUAAUGAAAAAAAAAAAAAGAAAAAACAAAGUACGAAAAUCAAAUGGGAAAAUCCAAAAUUUUACCUAAAUUUGAAUCGGAACUUGAUGAGUUUAAUUAUUAUUUUUAAAUAAUUAAAUUUUAAAUUUGAUAUUUUAUAUUUGUAUAUUUAAAUUUUUUAAUUUGAGAUUUAAAAAUAAAGAUUUUAAUUUUGAAAUAUUAAUUUUAAAUUUUAAAUUUUAAAUUAUUGUUUUUAAUUCCUUUUAAAUUAUAAAUUUUUGACAUUUUAUAUUUGUAACUUUAAAUUUUAAAUUUGAGAUUUAAAAAAUAAAAAAAUUAAAUUUAAAAUUAAAAUUAUUAAUUUUAAUUAUUUAAGUUUUAAAUUUAAAUUCAAAUAUAAAAAUUAGGGCAAAAUUAUUUUUUUUAUUUAUAAUAGCUCACUAUUCUUUUUAUCUCACUUACUCCUACCUGGACUACUCUUACCUGAACCCAAUUUUCAACCAAAUACAAAAUUACUCUAAUCCCCCCUUAACCGUCGCCUUAACCAUGAAUUUAACACUAUCCAUGGAUUAGCAAGUGUUUUAUUUAACCCCGAGCAAAACGGUGGCUAAGGGUGUGUUUGAUUCCACGUAAAACUGUGGAAAAAUAAUUUUCGGUGGAAAAAAAAUAUUUUACGUAAAAAAAGUAGUUUUCCACGACGGUUGUCAAAAAAAAAUUAUAAAUAAUAUAUAUAUAUAUAUAAUUUUAUAUUUUAUAUAUUAUUAAUACAUAAUUAUUAUCAUAUUAUAUAUAUUAGUAUUAUAGUUUAUAUUUACUAAAUAAAAUAUAUUUAAAAUACAUUAUGCAAUAAUUAAAUAUAUAAUAUUAUAUAAUAAAUAUAUUUAUAAAUAAUAUAUAUAUAUAUAUNCACCACAAUGGAUGUAGUGUCAUCAAUGAUGGGACCGUUGAUGCACACUAUCCGCUCCUUCUCCUUAAUAACGGGGAAAACUCGAUAGCACCAAAUCCUUGUGCUAUCGAUAAUACCCCAGCCGGACUCUAUAUAUAUAUAUAUAUAUAUAUAUAUAUAUAUAUAUAUAUAUAUAUAUAUGUUAUAUAUAUUUUAUAUAAAUGAAAAAAAAGAAGAAGAUGGGGAGAGAGGUCCAUCGCACUCCACUCCAGUGGACCACUCUGUCGAGGUCCAGGACAAGUGCUCUUAUUCUAUUAAUAGGAUAGUAGUCAGACUCAAGUAUAUUUAUAUAUAUACUGUUUCGUUGCCUAAAGGAAAAAAUAAAAAUUUUUUUUAAAAAAAGCUACAGUAAAAUUAUUUUUUAUAUAGUAAAAUUCUUUGGUAAAAUAAAAAUAUAUUUACUAUAGAAAUUUCUUGUGGACUAGUUGUACGGAUUUUUAAAAAUAUUUAUUGUUUUUGGCUCCUUAAAAAAAAAAAAUUGCUACUGCAAAAUUAAUUUUAAACAAUUUUGCUCUAAGUGGGAUUUGAACCUACAGUUUCUAAAAGCACGGUUUUUUAGCGCGAUCACCUAACAAGCAGCACUAAUACUAUUGCAUUUUUUUAUUGUUACAGUUAGGGGUGGCAAUCCAGCUCGCUAUUCGCGAGCUAGCUCGUGGUCGGCUCGAAAUGAGCUCGAGAUCGGCUCGCUCGUUUAAUAAACGAGCCGAACAUGAGCUAAUUGUUUCAAGCGCUCAUUUAAUACAGCGAACACGGACUGAGGUUUAACCUCGUCGUAUUCGGAUUGAUAAGGUUCAGAAUACAUAUGAUUUAUAUUUAUAUAAUUUAUUUAUUUAUAUUUUUAUAUAUAAAUAAAUAAUUAUAUAUAAUAUAUAUUUUUAUUAUUUAAUUUUUAGUAAAAUAAAAAUAUAAAUGCGAGCUUAAUUAUAAAAAAAAACUCAUUUAUAUGUAAAAUUUCAAUUAUUAGAUCAAAGUCUAAUUAAUAAGAUUUUACAAAUUUAUUUUUUAUAUAUAUUUAAUUUAAUUUUUUUAAUUUAUUGUUCGUUGGUUUGCUCGUGAGCCAGCUCGUGUUCGGCUCGUUAAUAAACGAGCCAAACAUGACCUGAAUUUUUCGGUUCUAUAUUUUAACGAACCAGCUCGUGUUCGGCUGGUUUACACCCCUGGUUGCAGUCAUUGUAAACUCUAUUUGUUGGAUUUAAUACCACAACUAUCUAACUUCUCAGCACGACUACGCAUCUAACUUCUCAGCGCAAGGGCGACGUGACAGAAUGCCGGUACCAAGCUACCGUCGGUGGACACUCCUCCACAAAAAAUUAAUUUAAUAUCAAGGUUGGCACAUGGCCCACAUAUAUCAAAUAUUAAAUUUUUGUGAAAAUUAUAAAUUUAAUUAGAACUCUGAAUUAAUUGAAAAAUUAGAUUUGGUUCAGCAAAUCAAAUGGGGCGAUGUGAACUUUUGUUAAAUCGUGCUCUGAUUUGCAGGUCAUUCUAUUUUUUUUUUUUUAACCUACAGUAAAAUCAUAUCUUUUUUUUUAAAAAAAUGUUUUUUUUAAUCCAUACACAUAAACUAAUUUUACUGUAGCGAACUUGCUUUUUUUUUUAAAAAAAAUAUUACAGUAAAAUUUAUUUCCGUUUGUUUGUUUUUUUUAAAUAUAACAAUAGUACCACAAAAAGUUAUCUAUACAAAAAUAAAGAUAUGCAGUUUAAACUAUAAAGAUAUGCGAUUAUUAAUUUAAAGUGCUAAUCCCGAGAUAUUUAAAUUUAAACGACAAAUCGUACAGUCAAAAUAUAAAAAAAAGAGUUACAUACAAUAUAUAUAUUUAUAUAUUUUAAUAAAUUAGAUCCGUCAGAUUUAAUCACAAUCAAAUAGAAAAAUACGCUUUAAAUUGUUGAAACAAAUACCGCAUAGGAAUCUGAUUGUGAUAUAAAUCUAACUAAUUUUGUGAUGAAAAUAAAUAAAUCAAACUUACAGAUAAACGGAAAUAUUCAAAUAAAAAUCUGAUUUUAUCCGGAAGAGUACGAGGCACAGUGCUAAGACGUAUUUCCGUCCUUAGGUGCGAGAUUAACCGGAAAUAACACCUAAGGUACAACCGAAAUUCCUCUUUCUACUAGGAGGAUCGUGAAGGAGAUUGACGGAGAUUCUUAAUACCCAGUAGAUAAAAAUGGAAUAUUCAAAAAUGAAAGAUGAAAGAAAUAAUAAUAGAUGAGGAUUAAUCAAUGGUCCAAUAUAUUUUUUUUACCUACUCUGUAUGAAACAGAGGAGGAAAAGAGGAAGAGGAAGCCGAUUUAACAGAAAAAGGUGUAUCCCGCGCAACAGAAUGAGAUUCCGUUUGGCGAAAAAAACGGAACGACAAAAAAAUAUAUUGUUCGUUUCUUUUUCAUUAAAAAAGAUAAUAAAAUAAAUAAAAUAAAAUAAAAUAAAUAAAAAUAAUAAAUAAAUAAUUUAAUAAAUAAAUUUAAAGUUCAAAUGAAAUAAAUUUAAACUCAAAAUUUUUAAUUUUUCACCAACAUGGUAUACGAAAUAGUAAAAUAGUCGAAGUUGAUCGUGUCGAGCCUAUAACGAGAAUUGCCGCUCGAUCAACCCGUUCGACCAUGUCGAGUCUAGUGCGAAAAUGAUCGCACGGUUUAGAAAUUAGCAAUAUAUAGGCAUGACGAAAAUGACGAUUUGAUGUUAGAUUUAAUAGAUUCGAACAUAUCACAAAAAUAAUUGGAUUAAUCAAAUCAACAAGAAAAUCUCACUUGCACCAUCUGUAUGCAUGCAUUACCUUUUGUUGUUGGAGAAGUCGCCAUGAUCGUCAUAUCGUUCUCGUCGGAAUCGUGGCAGCCAUCGCCCUCGUGAUUGAGCUUAACUCCUUUUCUUUUUACUUUCUUUUUCUCUUUUUGUCUUUUAUUUAUUUUUUUAUUUUUUUGUUGGCACGAGAGAGGGGACCCAACUCCCUCCUCCCCCCUUCCCCCCCUCUCUCUUUCUCUCUCUCUAUCUCUCUCUCUCUCUAUGUACGAACGAGAGAGAGAGAACGAGGGGCGGGAUCUCCUCCCCACACGCCUUCUCUCCCUUUGUUUUUUCGCUUUUUUUUUUUUUUCAAAGAUCCUCUUUUUUUUUUUUAGUCCCAUUGUUUAAUUUAUAGUAACCCUUUUGAUGGGUUGUUUUAGAAACUUUUCAAAAUAUUUUGAAAAUAAGGCAAUCCUAUUUUCAUUAUUACUUUUUUUUUUUUGUGUGGGUAAUAGGGUAUUUAAGAAAAGUACAAUCAAACCAUAAUUUAUUAUUUUCUUCUAUAUUCUCAAUUUAAAUUUAAAUUAUUUUUAUCUCGAACAGUCUGUGUGUGGGAGAUUUAAUAUACAAUUUGUCUUUUUUAUGUUCUGGUUGGUGCAUCUAUGGACCGGAUUCCUAAACUCCUAGGUGAACUACUAAAAAAAGCGUAUUUUGCUUAGAUAAUAAAACUGAGUCUAUCAGUUUUGGAAAACUAAAAUAAAGAGAAAAACAAACCAGACACUAGCUACGACCAAAAAAUUAGUUUUUUUAUAAAAAAAUAACAAGUUCGCAUUGAAAAUAAACAACAACAGAUCAAGCAAGCACCAAUGCCCCUCGCAUUACAAACAAAAAUAAAUCACCAAAUUACUUUUACUGUAAACAUAACAAGUUCCUGAAUUAAUCUCACCUGCAAUGUUGCAGUAAAAAGAUAUCUAUUUUUAACAACGUGAAAACUCAAUCUAAGCUGUAUAAUACCUAACGACCUUGUAGCAGGACCUAAAAUUCAGGAUGCACUCUUUGCUGUAGACGAAGAGGUACAUAUGAAGGAAACCUUAGCCAAGAUAGUACUAAAAUAGUUUGCUGUCACAAAGUUUCACAAAGUGAUUCCCAAAAUUACUUACAUAACUUUUAAUGUAAAAAAAAUAUUUUAUUCCUGCCGUUCCAAUACAGCUAUUUGAAUUUACUCCACACUAAGUCGACAAAUUGGACAGGUCCACGCGCGUUCGAACCAACUAUCAAUGCAGCCAUGAUGGAAGCUAUGAGCGCAAGGAAGCCAUUCGACCGCCAACUCCUCUCCGAAUAACUUAUCCAAGCAGAUCGGACAGCACGAAGAAUCUGCAUCUGUAGGCAGCACGGUCGUGAGUCUCGGUUGUCGGUCCAUAGGAGAAUACAAAGGAUCUGCAUCUGUAGCUACGGUUGCGAGUUCAGGCCUUAUGUUUGUAAUGUUAUACAGACGAUUCGGAUCCGAAUCCAAUACUACGGUGAUUUCAAACCCAAGCAUAAAGCCUCCGGAGCCGCACGACUUUACAGCUUUAUGUACUUUGUCCCGCAAAUGCCGCUCUAUGCAGAGUCUACCGAGGCUGUCGGGAGGCAGGCGGCCCAGAAAAGGAAUGGCCACGUCGAGCUUCUGGAAGAUCUCGGUCAUGCUGCCAUCCAGGUUCUUGAUGAAGCAGCUGACGUCUUUGGCGAUUGUCGUCGUGAUUCUCGUGCUGUCGUAGUGAUAAUAGACCUUGCCAAGCUCCGGUUUCUCGAUCCCCUUGAAGCUGAUCUCCAGUACGAUCCACGGCUGAUCCAACCGCAACUUACUUGAGAUAAUCACCAUAAUUUCUGCUAUCCAGAAUAGAGAAUUAAUUAGAGAGAAUAUGAGGCAAAGAUUAAUUCAGAAUAGAGAACUAAAGAGAAUAUGAGGCAGGCGAGGGUCAAUUAAGCAAUCGCUCUUCAUACAUAUGCGUGUGCGUGUGCAUAUAUAUAUAUAUAUAUAUAUAUAUAUGGGACAAGGAUUCCUAUAUAUUCUGCCGGAAAUCCGAAUAGAGAUUCCUAGUCCAAACCAAUCUAGGCUUCGUUUCACAUAGACUCGGCGACUACUAUGAGCAAUACGAGAUAUAUAUAGAUUUUUAUACUAAAUAAUAUGAGAUAAUAUAGACUAGGUGAAAAUUGAUUAGAGAUAUAGAUUGGGUGAAAAUUGAGUAGAUUAAAGUUUUUUUUUUUUUUUUCUUUCUCUGAUAAUGUGCUGGUUCCAACCUCAUAGAUACAAUCUCGAAUUGGUGACUUUUAAUAAUCAAUCUCAUAGAUACAAAUUAUUCAUCAUGCCAGGAAGAAAUCAAAACAAAAUCAAUUAAAUAAAAUACUUUAACAUACAAAAUUAGACCAGACAAAAAGAGAACCUGAGACUUGACCUUUUGGGCGAUACGGGAUGGAGAAUGGGCGGGACGAGCCGUCGAAGACGCAGGGCCGAAUCGAAGGAGGAGAUGUGAGAGAGACGGGGUGCGAUUUAGAAACCCUAGAUUGGUGUAGGAGGAGAUGCGAGAGAAAUCAAAAAUCUGGAUCUAAUAAUCCGCCUGGCGAGCUUUGCAUAAUACAUCCCUAGUCCCAACUUUUAUAUAUAUAUAGCGGGUCGGAUAUAUUGUUAUGAAUAUGGAUUGGGAUUAUCACAAAUCAAGAUCCGAGUUUGAAAAUUUGUUGGAUUUGGAUUUGGAUUUGAAUUCGGAUUCACUAUUUUUUUCUUUGGAUUCGGAUUUAUAUAUAUUUAUUUAUUACAUAUAGUAUUUUAUUUUUAAAUAAAAAUGGUAUUAUAUAAUAUUUUAUUUAUAAGAAUAAUAUAGUUUGCUAUUUUUUUAUUUAAUUAGCUUAAUUUUGUAGCUCUUUAUUUUUUAUAUCAUUAAGAAAUAUGAGUAUUUAUGCUAAUAACAUAGCAUAAAUCUUGAGAGAAAAAAAAUAAUAAUAGCCGAAUUUUUUAUUCCGAAUUUUUUUUUUUUUGAGAAAUUAUUCCGAAUUUUUAAUUGGUGAACGUAUAGGGUGUGCUUGUUUAGGUGAAAGUGAGGGGAAAGUGGGGAAAGGGGAAGUUGUUUAUACUGUAAACUAUCACUUCCGUUGUUUGUUUUAUCAUAAUUUUAUUACGGCGGAAGGUCAAAUUCACCCAAAAUAGGGUAAUUGACUUCGCCGAGGUAAAAGAAUUUGUUAAAAUUAGUUAGGUAAUGUGAUCAAAUUUGGUUAGCUAAAUUUUAAUAUAUUUUUUUGUCUAAUUUGUAUAUUUAGAAAAUGACAAAAAAUAAAUUUGUUAAAUAUUAAUAAUUUUUUAACUUUAGAACUUUAUUUAUUGCAUUAUUAUAAUUUAUAUGCAAACAAAUAAUAUAAUUUUUUAAAAUUUUAUUUUAUAAUUAUACAUAUAUAUAUAUAUAUACAUAUAUAAUUAUAUUAAUUUUUAUUUAUUAUAAUUUAUUAUUCACUAAGUUAUAAAAUAGACAAUGAUAUCACUUCGGAGAUAAGUAUACCGGUGGUGGAGAACUACAUUUUUACGUCAUCUACUUCCUACUAAAUAAACAACAAAACUCGCAGAACUACACUUCCACAGAUAGAAACAAACAGCGAAAAUGAAUUAAUUUUCACCCCAACUCCACUUCAACCCAAAAUCCACUUUCACCUCAAGUCUACUUAUGUUGAAACAAAUAUGCCCAUAAUAUCCGUAUAAAUCACGUAUCCGAAUAAUUACCGAAUCUCUUUUUUAGUUUAAAAAUUAGAAGAUGAAUUUUAUCCGAAUUAUACCCAUACCGAAUUUUUGCCGAAUCCGAAUUAACUAACUAUGGGUCGAAUAUCUAUUAACAUAUAUGAUUCCGCAAUAGUUUUGCCACGUGGCAAUUUUUUUUCACUCUUAUUAAAAUCUUUACACUUUUUUCUUUUUUGUAACCGCUUUGUAUUUUAGGAUGCUCUUACAAAUAUUAAUAAGUGAAAGUAAUAAUAAACAUUUAAAUAACAACAGUUAUAAUUAUUUAUUGGUCUUAAAUAAUAUACAAAUACACUUUUUUUAAAAUUUAAAAAUCAUUCGUGUCAAUUCAUAUGACUUUAUAUUUGUCAACAAAAUAUUAUGAUUUUAAUUUCAUUUUUCUCAUUUCCUGUGAAUUUGUGAUCAAGUAUAAAAUGUUGGUAUUAACACAAAAUCACUAUUCUAAGCUAUUAAAACAUAUUAGAACUAAAUAAUUAAUUUGCUUAUUUUAUUUUCAAUUAAGAUUAUAAUUCUUUUUAUUAUCAAAUAUCAACUUUUUGCCUUUUUGUAUUCUAGAGUUUGUUCAGCUAUUUGAAACAAAUUAUCCUAUUGCAUAUCAUUAGAACAAGUUAAUAUAAUUUAUACAUUAUAUUUUAAUAUUUAAAUAAUCUGUACAUUAUACUUUAAUAUUAAAAAUUAUAAAAUACAAAUUUAAUCAUGAAAUUUGACAAAACAGAGGGCAUAGUUUUAGCUUUAUUAAACACUUAUAUAUGUCAUGUUUUUUCCUAUAUUUUUACUAUUUUAUUUAAAUUAAUUUUAUAUUUUAUUAGAAGAUAAUAUUAAGUCUANAAACACUUAUAUAUGUCAUGUUUUUUCCUAUAUUUUUACUAUUCCGUUUAAAUUAAUUUUAUAUUUUAUUAGAAGAUAAUAUUAAGUCUAAAUAAGCAGUCUCAAUAACCAUUAUACUUCUAAUAACAUACAACACCCACCACUAUGAAGGAUUAAAAUCCAUGCGUUUCAAUAGCCUUUUAGAUUCUUAUUAGUUACGUUAAACAUCAAAGUUAUAUAUCUAAUCUAACCAUUAGAAUCAUUAUAGUUUUAACGUGUAACACCUACUAUCAAGUGGCAUUAAAAGUGGAGAUAUAAUUUAACCAUCAUUACAUACGUUUUCAUGGCCCUUUAGAUUCUCAUUAUAUGAUAAAUUGAUUAAUGAUGAAUUAACUAUGUUAAUUAUAAGAUUAUUCCCAUCUACUCAAGCGGCAUUAAUGGAAAAUUUAUUUUUUAAAAAUAUUGAGUAACAAUUAGCGUAUCACAAGGUAGAUGAAUUAAGUAAAAUAAAAAUAUCUUGACUAUUUACAAUAUCUCCCUACCCACCGCAACGCGCCGACACUACACUAGUUGUUAUGAAUAUGGAUUGGGAUUAUCACAAAUCAAGAUCUGAGUUUGAAAAUUUGUUCGAUUUGGUUUCGGAUUCGGAUUCACUAUUUUUUUCUUUGGAUUUGGAUUUUGGAUUCGGAUUAAUCCAAAUGCAAACUUAAUUGCCGAUUCUAUCGCGAUAUGAUGUGAAAACUGUUUGAUAAAAAAUUUUUUGAUGCAUGCACAUAUAAAUAUUUUUAUUACUUUUAAAAUAAUUUAAAAUUUUAAUUUGAAUUAAAAGAAUAAUUUUUAAAUUUUGAAUUUGUACAAAAAAUAAAUUUGAAAUUUCAAAAUUUUAAAUUUUAAAUUUGAUUUUUUUAAAAUCUGAAUUUAAAUUUUGAAUUUUUUGAUCUGAAUUUAAAUUUUGAAUUUUUUGAUCUGAAUUUAAAUUUUGAAUUUCAAAUUUAAAAUCUAAAUUUAAAAUUUAAGAUUUAAAACUUGAAAUUCAAAAAUUAAAAUUUAAAAUUUAAAAUUUAAAACUUACUUUUAAAUUUAAAAUUUUGAAUUUUGAAAUUUAAAAUUAAAUUUUGAAUUUGGAAUUUUGUAAUUCAAAAAUUAAAACUUGUAAUUUUAAAAUUUAAAUUUAAGUUUUAAAAUUUGAAAUUUCAAAAAUUUAAAAUUUAAAAUUUUGAGUUUUGAAAUUUAAAAUUAAAAUUUGAAUUUUGAAUUUUGUAAUUUAAAAAAUAAAACUUGUAAUUUUAAAUUUUCAAAUUUUAAAUUUAAGUUUUAAAAUUUGACAUAUCAAAAUUUUAAAUUUUAUAUUAAAUUUAAAUUUUAAAAUUUUGAAUUUUAAAAUUUAAAAGUUGAGAUUUGAAACUUAAAUUUAAAAUUUAAAUUUUAAAUUUGAAAAAUUGAGAUUUAAAAAUUCAAAUAUAAAUUUAAAAUUUCAAAAUUUAAAUUUAAUGUUAAAUUUAUAUUUUGAAUCUAAAAUAAAAAGAAAUUUGAAGUUUAAGUUCAAAAUUAGAAUCAGUUUUGGAGAAGUAGCUUUUUUCUACUUCUAAUGAAGAUGGCAUGUGGUUGAGAUAGUGCCUAUUACAAAGAUGGCGAGUUGAUCAAGUCGAAUCAUGGCUAUUACGAAAAUGUCGAAUGAUUUGAACAAUACCUAUCACAAAGAUGGCAAAUCAAAAUAUAUUCAUCAUUUUUUUUAAUAUUUUAAUUUUAUUUUUUUUAUUUGUUCAAAUGCGCGGGUUUGAUCGUGUCAAGCCUGAUUGUGAUAUAAAUCUAACUAUUUUUGUGAUGAAAAUAAAUAAAAUCAAACUUACAGAUAAACGCAAAUAUCCAAAUAAAGAUUUGAUCUUAUUCGGAAGCGUGCGAGGCACUGCCCUAAGACUUAUUCCCGUCCUUACAUGUAACACCGCAAGGAGAGUGAAAAAGAAGCGAACCAAACACGCCCUAAGAGUAUUUUUUUUAUUUUUUUUAAGAGAUAGAUAGCAUGUUAUUCACUUCGUUUAUUUUAUUUACCACUAUUAAACUACAAAUUUCCCUUC